UACGUAGGCAGGCGAGCGUUGUUCGGAAUCACUGGGCGUAAAGCGCGUGUAGGCGGCUAUCUAAGUCUGAUGUGAAAGCCCUGGGCUCAACUCAGGAAGUGCAUUGGAUACUGGAUAGCUGGAGUACCGGAGAGGAGGGUGGAAUUCUGGUGUAGCGGUGAAAUGCGUAGAUAUCAGGAGGAACACCGGUGGCGAAGGCGUCCCUCUGGCCGGAUACUGACGCUGAGACGGCGAAAGCGUGGGGAGCAAACAGG
This 254-nucleotide ribosomal RNA is filed under the name uncultured bacterium. RNAcentral describes it as "partial 16S ribosomal RNA". It matches the Rfam family "Bacterial small subunit ribosomal RNA", at positions 524 to 776 of the family's 1533-position model. The record is from RNAcentral.